This 215-nucleotide long non-coding RNA is filed under the name Elaeis guineensis (African oil palm). RNAcentral describes it as "long non-coding RNA (EGUI_LNC067678)". Lineage: Eukaryota; Viridiplantae; Streptophyta; Magnoliopsida; Arecales; Arecaceae. The record is from RNAcentral.
AGUGGAGCAGGAUUGUGGCCAUUAUUGUAGCCUACCACGGAGAACCUGUUGUGGGUAGUGGAGCAGAAUCGUGGCUAUUAUUGUGGCCUACCACGUGGAGCCUGUUGUGGGUAGUGGAGCGGCGUCCGUUGUCACGGCUUGCCAGAGGGUGGAGAGACUGCACGGUAUCCAUCGCAGGAAGUGGAGCAGAGUCGUGGCCGUUACUGCGGCCUAUC